GACGAACGCUGGCGGCGUGCUUAACACAUGCAAGUCGAACGGAAAGGCCCUGCUUGCUGGGUACCCGGGUGGCGAACGGGUGAGUAACACGUGGGUGAUCUGCCCAACACUUCGGGAUAAGUCCGGGUAACUGGGUCUAUUACCGGACAGAAGCCAUUUCGAGUUUGGUGGUUCGAAAGUUUUUUCGGUUUAGGAUUAGCUUGCGGCCUAUCCGCUUGUUGGUGGGGUAAUGGGCUAGCAAGGCGGCGACGGGUCGCCGGCCUGAGAGGAUGGCCGGCCACGCCAGGACUGAGAUACGACACAGCCUCGUACCGGACGCAACGGAGGGGAAGAUUGCACAAUGGGAUGGAGCAUGGUGUGACGCAGCCGCGUGGGGUAAGACGGCCAUCGGGUUGGGAAGUCCUUCCGCUUGAGACGAGGCGAUUGUGACGGUACCUAGAGAAGAAGCACCGGCUAACUACGUG
Molecule: ribosomal RNA, 464 nt
Filed under: uncultured bacterium
Lineage: Bacteria
Description: partial 16S ribosomal RNA
Rfam family: Bacterial small subunit ribosomal RNA
Source: RNAcentral